UUUUCUUUCUUGCUUUUCUUUUUUUUCUCUUUUUUUUUGGAACAAAAACUCGUUUUCAGUCCUUCUUUUGACCCAUAGACAUCUUUUCUUUUAACCUCUGUGUCAAACGCAGCACAACUUUCAACUAAAGGGGAUCACUAAGAUGGAUGGUGCAGCACAAAAACAAGAAACUGCGGUGGGGAAUAUGUGGCGGUUAGAAAACAAGGGUGGGAUGGGUGGGUAUUUUUUUUGUUUAUAUAUACGCAGCAAGCAAUGAUGAUCAGAUCAAGGGUGGGAUGGAUGGGUACAUGCAGCAAGCAAUUUGAUGAUUAGAACAAAGAUAAUAACUAGAACAAUGUGGAAAAGAAAAAUUCAGCAACUAGACAAAUAUUAAAGGAUUAAAACUCGAUAAAGCAAACUACAAAAUCAGUAGCACAUAUGAAUUUGGGCUGUAGGUUUUCUUUUUGGCUCUCACAGUGGACAGUAGGUAUUUAAACUCUAUCCUACCAAAAUCAAGAACAAUCCUACCGAGGAAACGAAGGCUUUGGUACCAGAUGAUAUGCUCACGCCUAGGGAUAGCGUGAGACAAGUCGUUGUGGCCCGAUCUUCUCGUAGGAUUCGCGAACUUGAUAACUUGUCGCUGCGUGACCUGGUGAAGAGGCAGUGCACCGCGAGGCUGUCCACGCGACGAACUACCGAGACAAUCACCCUUCCACGUACCGACGAACAGCCCAUGCAAUCACGCCGUAUAGACGUGAAGGCACAAACUGGAUGAACCGCAGUUCGGCGUUCUACAACUCCCUCAGGAAUCGAAAGAACAAGUUUUGCAAGCCUCUCAAGAC
This 821-nucleotide long non-coding RNA is filed under the name Sorghum bicolor (sorghum). Its description in RNAcentral is "long non-coding RNA (SBIC_LNC002876)". The record is from RNAcentral. Lineage: Eukaryota; Viridiplantae; Streptophyta; Magnoliopsida; Poales; Poaceae.